UCCCAACAAAUCUCUUCCUUCUUCGUCGUCAUCUCUUCUUUCUCCCUCGAUUUCGAACAAUGAUUACUCAAAAUCAACUCAAAGGAAAAAGAUACCUAUAUCUCCAUGACUCUAUUACUCAAAUGAAAUCUAAAAUCCAAAAUCAAAUCAUCAUCACCUACCACCUUUUCCAGAGAAUGAUCUCCCAAAAUCAUCAAACACCUUCCUAAUUCAAUCAUCAUCACUUGCAAAGGUUUCCAGAAUAAAAGUUUUGAGGUCAAAUUCUUGGAUUUCAUCUUUGUACAACAGGGUUGGCUGGUUCAGUUGAUGUAGAGUCAUUAUUAAUAGGUAGAAGACUUCUGUAGCUGCUGCUGGUGGGCAGAGGAAGAAGAAGAAUGGAAAAGGUUAACGCGGAGGAAGAAUAUGUGGUACUAUUCUUUUCAAUGGGUUUAUUUCCUUCAACACUUGAAUUUAGUAAUGUAAAUAUAGGCAGGCUUAAUCUAAUGUUGUUACUAAUGACUUAAUGAAGGUGCCGGUUCAUGAGUUCAUACUAGCGGAACACUAACUGAUCACCUUUCCUGUAAACUUCUUUGCGAUACUUAUAUGAAUUGUGUUCCAUUAUUGGUGAUUUCUCAUUAUUUUUCUUUUCCCUAUUUUCUAUCAAUGAGUAUUGGUAUGAUAUUGUGAAUAGAUUUAUAUUUUUUUUAAAUGACAAUCAGCCUUGGGCAAUUUUUG
Molecule: long non-coding RNA, 714 nt
Organism: Papaver somniferum (opium poppy)
Lineage: Eukaryota; Viridiplantae; Streptophyta; Magnoliopsida; Ranunculales; Papaveraceae
Exons: 2
Source: RefSeq, a predicted model, not a curated record